Molecule: ribosomal RNA, 540 nt
Filed under: uncultured bacterium
Lineage: Bacteria
Description: bacterial SSU rRNA
Rfam family: Bacterial small subunit ribosomal RNA
Source: RNAcentral
ACUCCUACGGGAGGCAGCAGUGGGGAAUAUUGGACAAUGGGCGAAAGCCUGAUCCAGCAACGCCGCGUGAGGGAUGACGGCCUUCGGGUUGUAAACCUCUUUCAGCGCAGACGAAGCGAAAGUGACGGUAUGCGCAGAAGAAGCACCGGCCAACUACGUGCCAGCAGCCGCGGUAAUACGUAGGGUGCGAGCGUUGUCCGGAAUUAUUGGGCGUAAAGGGCUCGUAGGCGGUCUGUUGCGUCAGGAGUGAAAACUCGGGGCUUAACCCCGAGCCUGCUUCUGAUACGGGCAGACUAGAGGUAUGCAGGGGAGAACGGAAUUCCUGGUGUAGCGGUGAAAUGCGCAGAUAUCAGGAGGAACACCGGUGGCGAAGGCGGUUCUCUGGGCAUUACCUGACGCUGAGGAGCGAAAGUGUGGGGGAGCGAACAGGAUUAGAUACCCUGGUAGUCCACACCCGUAAACGUUGGGCGCUAGGUGUGGGACUCAUUCCACGAGUUCCGUGCCGCAGCUAACGCAUUAAGCGCCCCGCCUGGGGAGUAC